Molecule: small RNA, 46 nt
Filed under: Candidatus Sulfotelmatobacter kueseliae
Lineage: Bacteria; Pseudomonadati; Acidobacteriota; Terriglobia; Terriglobales; Candidatus Korobacteraceae
Description: Acido-Lenti-1
Rfam family: Acido-Lenti-1 RNA
Source: RNAcentral
CCCGGCACUCACGUGCCGGGCUAUCACCUGCCGCCGCUUCGCGGCU